This is a long non-coding RNA of Gossypium arboreum, 398 nucleotides long. RefSeq lists it as uncharacterized. Lineage: Eukaryota; Viridiplantae; Streptophyta; Magnoliopsida; Malvales; Malvaceae. The record is from RefSeq and is a predicted model, not a curated record. The transcript is spliced from 2 exons.
AAAAGAAAGAAAAAAAAAAGAUAGAAAGGAAGAAAACAAAGCAAACGAAACAGAGAGCAGGGGAAGGAAAGAGAGAAAAAAAGAAAAGAAAGAAGAAAAGGGGAAAAUUGAAGGUGUGAUGCUUGGAAGUUUAAUAGCUAAAAACGCCAUAGGAGGGUUCUCUAAGCUGGUAUUUCAUAAGUUUUGCACCAAAUCCAGAAGAUUCAAAUACGAAGCUAGAUCGAGGAAAGGAAAAAGUUCGGGAUUAGUAGAUUUUUACUGUUUACAAACAAGUAUCAAGGUAAGUUCGUGUAACUUGAAUUAUAUUCUUAAAUGCUUGAAAUGCAUGUUUUUGAUAUGAAUAUGAUUUGAAUGUUCAUUAUAUGAAAAUUUAUGAAACAUUGAUAUAUUUGAUAAAA